ACGCGAAGAACCUUACCCAGGCUUGAACAGCGAGUGACCACUCCUGAAAGGGAGCUUCCGCAAGGACACUCGUAGAGGUGCUGCAUGGCUGUCGUCAGCUCGUGUCGUGAGAUGUUGGGUUAAGUCCCGCAACGAGCGCAACCCUUGUCUUCUGUUGCCAUCAGGUUAUGCUGGGCACUCUGGAGAGACUGCCGGUGAUAAACCGGAGGAAGGUGGGGAUGACGUCAAGUCAGCAUGGCCUUUAUGUCUGGGGCUACACACGUGCUACAAUGGCCGGCACAAACCGUCGCGAGCCCGCAAGGGGGAGCUAAUCGGAGAAAGUCGGUCUCAGUUCGGAUCGUCGGCUGCAACUCGCCGGCGUGAAGUUGGAAUCGCUAGUAAUCGCGGAUCAGCACGCCGCGGUGAAUACGUUCCCGGGCCUUGUA
RNAcentral lists this ribosomal RNA (425 nucleotides) under uncultured Acidobacterium sp. Its description in RNAcentral is "bacterial SSU rRNA". It matches the Rfam family "Bacterial small subunit ribosomal RNA", at positions 959 to 1385 of the family's 1533-position model. The record is from RNAcentral. Lineage: Bacteria; Pseudomonadati; Acidobacteriota; Terriglobia; Terriglobales; Acidobacteriaceae.